RNAcentral lists this ribosomal RNA (490 nucleotides) under uncultured bacterium. RNAcentral describes it as "partial 16S ribosomal RNA". It matches the Rfam family "Bacterial small subunit ribosomal RNA", at positions 30 to 507 of the family's 1533-position model. The record is from RNAcentral.
AUUGAACGCUGGCGGCAGGCCUAACACAUGCAAGUCGAGCGGCAGCGGAAAGUAGCUUGCUACUUUGCCGGCGAGCGGCGGACGGGUGAGUAAUGUCUGGGAAACUGCCUGAUGGGGGGGGAUAACUACUGGAAACGGUAGCUAAUACCGCAUAACGUCGCAAGACCAAAGAGGGGGACCUUCGGGCCUCUUGCCAUCAGAUGUGCCCAGAUGGGAUUAGCUAGUAGGUGGGGUAACGGCUCACCUAGGCGACGAUCCCUAGCUGGUCUGAGAGGAUGACCAGCCACACUGGAACUGAGACACGGUCCAGACUCCUACGGGAGGCAGCAGUGGGGAAUAUUGCACAAUGGGCGCAAGCCUGAUGCAGCCAUGCCGCGUGUAUGAAGAAGGCCUUCGGGUUGUAAAGUACUUUCAGCGGGGAGGAAGGUGUUGAGGUUAAUAACCUCAGCAAUUGACGUUACCCGCAGAAGAAGCACCGGCUAACUCCGUG